GCCGCGCUGGCGGGCGGGUUGGCUGCGGCGACGAUCCGUACGGCGGCGGGCAGUUCGAGGCUGCCGACCCGGCGC
Molecule: transfer RNA, 75 nt
Filed under: Streptomyces xanthophaeus
Lineage: Bacteria; Bacillati; Actinomycetota; Actinomycetes; Kitasatosporales; Streptomycetaceae
Description: tRNA-Arg
Source: RNAcentral